This 814-nucleotide ribosomal RNA is filed under the name Cortinarius sp. G2334. Its description in RNAcentral is "eukaryotic LSU rRNA". It matches the Rfam family "Eukaryotic large subunit ribosomal RNA", at positions 113 to 913 of the family's 3401-position model. The record is from RNAcentral. Lineage: Eukaryota; Fungi; Basidiomycota; Agaricomycetes; Agaricales; Cortinariaceae.
AUUUAAAAUCUGGCAGUCUAUGGCUGUCCGAGUUGUAAUCUAGAGAAGUGUUAUCCGCGUUGGACCGUGUACAAGUCUCCUGGAAUGGAGCAUCAUAGAGGGUGAGAAUCCCGUCUUUGACACGGACUGCCAGGGCUUUGUGAUGCGCUCUCAAAGAGUCGAGUUGUUUGGGAAUGCAGCUCAAAAUGGGUGGUAAAUUCCAUCUAAAGCUAAAUAUUGGCGAGAGACCGAUAGCGAACAAGUACCGUGAGGGAAAGAUGAAAAGAACUUUGGAAAGAGAGUUAAACAGUACGUGAAAUUGCUGAAAGGGAAACGCUUGAAGUCAGUCACGUUGGCCAGGGAUCAACCUUGCUUUUGCUUGGUGUAUUUUCUGGUUGACGGGUCAGCAUCAAUUUUGAUCAUUGGAAAAAGGUCAAGGGAAUGUGGCAUCUUUGGAUGUGUUAUAGCCCUUGGUUGCAUACAAUGGUUGGGAUUGAGGAACUCAGCACGCCGUAAGGCCGGGUUUUUAACCACGUACGUGCUUAGGAUGCUGGCAUAAUGGCUUUAAUCGACCCGUCUUGAAACACGGACCAAGGAGUCUAACAUGCCUGCGAGUGUUUGGGUGGAAAACCCGAGCGCGCAAUGAAAGUGAAAGUUGAGAUCCCUGUCGUGGGGAGCAUCGACGCCCGGACCAGACCUUUUGUGACGGUUCCGCGGUAGAGCAUGUAUGUUGGGACCCGAAAGAUGGUGAACUAUGCCUGAAUAGGGUGAAGCCAGAGGAAACUCUGGUGGAGGCUCGUAGCGAUUCUGACGUGCAAAUCGAUCGUCAAAUUUG